Molecule: ribosomal RNA, 1197 nt
Filed under: Zoanthus pulchellus
Lineage: Eukaryota; Metazoa; Cnidaria; Anthozoa; Zoantharia; Zoanthidae
Description: 12S ribosomal RNA
Rfam family: Bacterial small subunit ribosomal RNA (bases 1-847)
Source: RNAcentral
CUUAGGGGCCAAGCCUUUAUGAGCAAAGGGGCGUAAAGGGUGUGUAGGCGAACUGCCCCACCCCCCCCCCCAAGGUGGUAAAUGGAAUGAUUCUGUAGCGGUAGAAUGUGCGGAUAGAAAAUAGAACCCCAAAAGCUGAAGCAAUUUACCGCGGGGUGGGAGGGGGGCCCCCUGGGGCGCCCCCCGGGCUACGGGCUGAAACACGAGGGUGUGGGGGACAAACAGGAUUAGAGACCCUGGUAGUCCACACUGUAAACGAUGGAGAAAAUGCGAAUGCAAUCCCGAAAGGCAGCAAUCUCCCGCCUGAGUAGUACGAUCGCAAGAUUAAAAUUCAAAAAAUUUGGCUGUUCACCGUUUCGAUUAGAGGAGCGUGUAGUUUAAUUCGAUAAACCGCGAGAUACCUUACCCAAACUUGAAUCCUUGAGGAUUCUAAGGAAUCCUUAUGGACCGGUAUUGCAUGGCCGUCGUCAGUUCGUGUAUGAAACUUAAAACGGACCCAACCCGAGGAUUAGCCGCGGAUGAAGUCAGGUCUUAUGGUCCCAAUGUUUGGGGAUAAUAUGCGCUACAUUUUCUUAUACAAUGGGAAACCUGGGAGGUGAAACCCAAAAGUGAGAGUUCGGUAGGCUAUUGGAAGAUGGCCGAAAGUUGAAUUUAAUAGUAAUCGGAAAGUAUAGCGUUCCGGUGAAAUGGUCUAGGUGUUAGCACAAAUCGCCCGUCACCUUAACUUAGGAUGAUGGUUCGGACGCCGCCGCGCCCCCGCGGGCCCCGGCGGUUACGGGCCCCUACGAAGUUAAGCAAGUCGUAACAUAGUGAGGGGAGGGGAACCUCCCCUUGAUCCUUUGGUUUUGGGGAAAAUAGAAGACAAGUGGACCUUCUAAUACAUGCUAGUGCGCGCUCUCCCCUAUGGGAGAAGCCUGCCCGCGCACAGGUGAGGAAACCCGGCUACCCCACCCCCAGGCUUUGUUGGGGGCUGGGCCGGAGACGUAUUAGGUAUGAGGGCGGUAUUAAAGACCUACCCUGCCGAAGAUGCGUAACAAUCAACCCGGAGUCACACUUUCACUGGAACAAGGGGAAGGCUCAUUAAGUCCGUUAGGGACGAGGCAGCAGUAGAGAAUAUUGUGCAAUGUACGGCAGUAUGACACAGAGAGCACACACCCUCUUGGCCUGUCCAACUAAGUGCCAGCAGACGCGGUUAGA